UGUGAAUCUGUGAUUCGUCGGCCGGCAGAGCCUUUGGUUUUGACCGUCUGCCAAUGAUUAUACUGAAGGCAGGCAGAGAGUUGCAAGCCCCACACGUCCGAAAAGACUGAGUUCCAUGGUUAAAAAAAAAUGUUAUCAGAAGAGUAAAAAUGGCACUAGCAAAGUGGGUUUGCAGCAGAUGUGUAAAUAAAUGUACGGAUGGCUGUUCUACCAUGCAAGUGCGUGGCGUGUGCAUGUGUUUAUUUAUAUUCAUUCCAAGACUCUUCAAUUGUCCUCUAUGAGUUUAAGCUCUACUAUUACUUUCCUAAA
Molecule: long non-coding RNA, 309 nt
Organism: Panicum hallii
Lineage: Eukaryota; Viridiplantae; Streptophyta; Magnoliopsida; Poales; Poaceae
Exons: 2
Source: RefSeq, a predicted model, not a curated record